Molecule: ribosomal RNA, 397 nt
Filed under: uncultured bacterium
Lineage: Bacteria
Description: partial 16S ribosomal RNA
Rfam family: Bacterial small subunit ribosomal RNA
Source: RNAcentral
AUACGUAGGUGGCAAGCGUUGUCCGGAAUUAUUGGGCGUAAAGCGCGCGCAGGCGGUCCUUUAAGUCUGAUGUGAAAGCCCACGGCUCAACCGUGGAGGGUCAUUGGAAACUGGGGGACUUGAGUGCAGAAGAGGAAAGUGGAAUUCCAAGUGUAGCGGUGAAAUGCGUAGAGAUUUGGAGGAACACCAGUGGCGAAGGCGGCUUUCUGGUCUGUAACUGACGCUGAGGCGCGAAAGCGUGGGGAGCAAACAGGAUUAGAUACCCUGGUAGUCCACGCCGUAAACGAUGAGUGCUAAGUGUUAGGGGGUUUCCGCCCCUUAGUGCUGCAGCUAACGCAUUAAGCACUCCGCCUGGGGAGUACGGUCGCAAGACUGAAACUCAAAGGAAUUGACGGGG